This 761-nucleotide ribosomal RNA is filed under the name uncultured Prevotella sp. Its description in RNAcentral is "bacterial SSU rRNA". It matches the Rfam family "Bacterial small subunit ribosomal RNA", at positions 28 to 776 of the family's 1533-position model. The record is from RNAcentral. Lineage: Bacteria; Pseudomonadati; Bacteroidota; Bacteroidia; Bacteroidales; Prevotellaceae.
GAUGAACGCUGGCUACAGGCUUAACACAUGCAAGUCGAGGGGAAACGGCAUUGGGUGCUUGCACUGAAUGGACGUCGACCGGCGCACGGGUGAGUAACGCGUAUCCAACCUUCCCGUUACUGCGGGAUAACCUGCCGAAAGGCAGACUAAUACCGCAUGUUCUUCGAUGACGGCAUCAGAUUCGAAGCAAAGAUUCUUCGGUAACGGAGGGGGAUGCGUCUGAUUAGCUGGUUGGCGGGGCGACGGCCCACCAAGGCGACGAUCAGUAGGGGUUCUGAGAGGAAGGUCCCCCACAUUGGAACUGAGACACGGUCCAAACUCCUACGGGAGGCAGCAGUGAGGAAUAUUGGUCAAUGGGCGGAAGCCUGAACCAGCCAAGUAGCGUGCAGGAGGACGGCCCUACGGGUUGUAAACUGCUUUUAUGCGGGGAUAAAGUGAGGGACGCGUCCCUUUUUGCAGGUACCGCAUGAAUAAGGACCGGCUAAUUCCGUGCCAGCAGCCGCGGUAAUACGGAAGGUCCGGGCGUUAUCCGGAUUUAUUGGGUUUAAAGGGAGCGUAGGCCGGGGAUUAAGUGUGUUGUGAAAUGUAGGCGCCCAACGUCUGACUUGCAGCGCAUACUGGUUCCCUUGAGUACGCGCAACGCCGGCGGAAUUCGUCGUGUAGCGGUGAAAUGCUUAGAUAUGACGAAGAACCCCGAUUGCGAAGGCAGCCGGCGGGAGCGCAACUGACGCUGAAGCUCGAAGGUGCGGGUAUCGAACAGG